CUUGACUUCUCUCUAAGUUGUUGAAAAUUUAGAAGUGUGGUAGCAUAAAGUAUUCAGCUCAAGUGCUUUAGUGCCUUACUACCCUUGAAGCUUUAGAAGCUGUCAAUACAAUUGGGGUUUCAACAUGUAACCAUUUUGGAAAUUCUAAGAAGUGUAAGUAUUAUGGUUUUACAACUUUAUUAGACUAGAUAGGCAACUUCAAAUUGCUGAAUGCCCUGAAUUAAAAUCACUACUAGAAGGAACCCAUGAGCACUCUAUAGAAACUCAUAAUCCACUACUCUUGCCACUUAUUAAGAAUGCUAAAAGGAAAAAGUGAAGAUUGGCUUGAGCAUGAUUGAUUAAUAAACCACACAUGGUCUCCUUAAUUCAAGUGUGUCAUCUGUUAUAUGUUUCAUGUCAGUAAUCCUACAUUUCUCUUGUUUCUAUUGGCUCUAUUUUUUUUUUAAUUAUUUUACAAUCAAUCUUCUAACAAUGUUCUACUUUUUUUACAAUUUUAUUUUUUUUAUUCUAAAAUGAAUUAAGACAUAUAAAGAAAAAAAUCACCUUGUUUGAUUUUCAUAUACUAUAUGCUUAAAUGUACAUGUGUUAAAAUCUUUUGAUUUUUUAUUGAUUACUUUCUAUUUAAUUUAUUAAAAAUUGUUAGUCUAUUUGGAGAUGAUUUUUUUUUUUCAUAUGUAAUAAGAUACCAACAAAUUGAGUGAGGAGCACAUCUUACUAAGUCGCUUGUCAAUCUAUCCACCUUCCUAAUCUCAAGAUUCUUCAUGUUUGAAUUAAAAUACCAUGAAUUACAAAAACAAAAAAUGAUGAAAAUGAGUAUUUCUCAUCAUCUUCAUUUUUAUUAGAAGGCAAUUUGUAGCAUCCUCUUUCCCAUUCCUAAAAAAUACUACAGCUUUGUAGGUUGAGAAAUUAGACAUGUUUUCUUAAAUGAUCUUCUUGGUCCAUGCAUGCUUAUAUUUGGAAGAUUUUUAAACCAAGUAUUUUAUGACAUAUAUGAUAGCUUUCAAGUUAAUGCAUAAAUGGUGAUGGUUAGGAUGCAAAAUAUAGUCUAUGCUCAACCUAUUUAUUGACAAACUACCAAGGGCUAGUGCUAAGGUAAACACCUAACACUUGCAUCAUACUCUCUCUUCUCUGCUCUCUUUAUUUGUUUUCCAAAGUUCAUAUAUAAUGUCUUUAUCAUUCAAGUUUUCAUUUUCAACCACUUUUUAAACUUUUGUCUUUUUAUGGUUUAUUACACGACAAUCCAUUUCUAAUAAAUCUUAUCUUUUUGUCUUAUAGACAAUAGAACAACGUGGUAAUUGCAUGACAUACAAUUUGUAAUAGAUGGUCAACUAUAUAUUAAGUAAUCUUUAAUUGCCUUGGAGUUGAAACGUUUGAUGUUGAUAAGGUUUGAUAAUUCUCGCUUUGGUGCUUUGUUGGAUUUCAAUUCAGGUGAUUAAUUGAUCUUGUUAUGAUUCUUUGAUUGUUUUUAUAACUAUUGUGAUAAUCAUUCUUAUUUUAUCGUGGUAAUUGACUUCACUGACUUUUUAACAAUUAUAUCAUGAGUGAAAUGCCCAACCUAUUAUUGUUAGUAUUCCAUUAACAUACCUCUAAUGCCACCACUAAUAAACAUCGUGUAUUAAUAUUUAUAACACGUUUCAUUACUGAAAUAAUUAAAUAUUUUCAAAUUUCUUUUUAGAGUGUGAGAAAUAACCAUUAAUCUUUACAACAGCAUAAGUAUCAUUGAUUUGAUAUUGCUUUCUUGAGUAAUUUGGCAAUUUAAUUAUGAAGUUUAGUUGGACAUUACUUGAGAUUCAUGUCUUAUGUAUAUGGUCUAUUUUCCAAGCUUCAAUUAUAUUUAGUAGACUUGUAAGUGGUGUUUGUCUAUGAGUUUCAACUCUAGAAAACUAUUAUUGGAGCCUAAGUUCACUUUCAAUAAGGAAAAAAAAAAAAAAACUCAACCUUUUCCUCAAUUGUGUAAUUUUAUUCACUAUUGACAUGCCCUUAAAUGGCAUUGCUAUUAUUUGUAGGGAACAUUGUCAAGUUCCAUAUUUGUCUAGAAAGUUAGAAGAAGUAUUUAAUUUGACAUGGUUUGGACAUCUUGCUACUAUCUUUUUAAAUUAGUUAUCAAUAAUUUUUCAAAGUUGACCUUUUUGUUUAUCUCAUACUCCUUUUGUAUUAAAAGGUACCGCAUGGGUAUUGUGUAGAGGAAUCAUGCCUUCUUUAAUUGAGGUGAGCCUCUUGCAAAAUAUUUCAAGUUUGCUCUCAUUCCAUUUGUUACUUCAUGUCUAUUUUUUUGUAAUCAAUCAAGCAAGAGUUUCUUACUUGUACAAUGGUGAACUUGCUUGCAUGAAUAAUACUCUUUUUACUAUUUUUUUUCUUUCUUUAUUAUAUUCAUUGAUACACUUAGAAGUGAAUAGUGAACCAGGUUUUUUGUUAAAAGAAAUCAAAUAUUGGUAAUUAUUUAGUAUCAUGUAUAUAAUAAUCAAUUAUUGAUUGUAAAGAUACUUGGCUUAAUCAAUUAUUAUAUUGAAAUCAAUGUAGUACUAUGACUAAUACCAAAAGGAUAAUAUUUAGUCUUGUUUGACCAUUAGUCACUAUUCUAGAGACAAAUGCUCACAAGUUUUGCAUCUUUGAAGCAUAUGAGAAAAGUUGGUUCAACUAUAUCACCAACUUACAAGCUCCUUAUAGUGUCCAUAUAUAUAACCUUCGUUGUUCAGGUUUAUGAUUCAUAUCUCAUUUUUUUUUUUCAUAUUUUUAUUGUUUAUAAUUUUUUAAUUGAUUUGUUUAUAAAUUUUUAAACUUUAUUGGCAAUACUAAUUUUUUUUUUUUAUUCUCAUGUGCAAUGGAAUAAUAAGUUGAAUAAGAAGCAUAAACUACUUAAUUGGUAUAACUGUUUACUCAAUUCUCUUCUCAGAUAUUUUUGUUCAAGGUAAUCAAAGUAUCAUUCUUUUUAUUUUUAAAGGUACUUGAACUCAGUGAGGACCAUUCCCAAAACAAGCAAUAACUACAGUUGGAUUAUUGAUAUCAUAUCCUUGAUUGACAUCUAUGCCAUUAUAUUUGCAUCUAAAGGAUUUAUGAUGAAAAAAAUAUCUUCUUUAUUUCCAUUUUCCUUCCUUCUUUUGACCAUAAUUUGUGUGCUUAUUGAUAGCAUUCAUACCCUAAUAUAUUUGCUAGCAUAUAUAUGCAUGUCAUAAUCUAUUGAUUUUUUUAGCAUAAGGUCUUAGAGUAUUCACAUAUCUCUAGGUUCUAUAUAUUUAUAAUUUUUACAACAUCAAAUGAAGUAUAUGAACCUUAUCUUGAAGGUGAAGUCUCUUUAAAAGGAGUUUCAACAUGUUAGCAAUUACCUAACUUAAUAAUUUAACAAUUUGGCACUAUAUAUAAUUUUGCAACUCUUUCAUAAAGUAAUUGUGUUACCUUUAUUCACAAUUUCUAUCUUUAUUUAAAAAAAAAAAAUGAAUUGGUAAUUGUGUGUCAAAUCUUGCUUACAAUCAUUAAUAGGUACUUAUAUGCUAAAUGGAUAAAGUUAUUUUACAAUUGUUUCAACAUUUUUAGAAUAUAUAUAUAUAUAGAUGUAAUCACUACCAAGCCAAUGCGAAAAGCUAUAACAAUGAGGAUUACAAAGCUUCAAUUAUGUCUUGGAGAUUCAUAUUGACAAGUUGUAAAUGGUGGGUGAAGUCUCUUUAAAAGGAGCUUCAACAUGUUAGCAGUUACCAAACUUAAGAAUCUAACAACUUGGCACUAUAUAUCAUUUUGCAACUCUUUCAUAAAGUAAUUGUGUAACCUCUAUUCACAUGUUCUAUCUUUAAUUUUUUUUAAAAAAAAAAGAAAUUGAAUUGGUAAUUGUGUGUUGAAUCAUUCUUACAAUAUUUAAUAGGUACUUAUACACUAAAUUGAUAAAGUUAUUUUACAAUUGUUUCAACAUGUUCUGAAAACAAAAAAGAUUAAUAAGUAUAUUUUUUCUAAAUGUAAUCACUACCAAGCCAAUGUGAAAAGCUAUAACAAUGAGGCUUACAAAACUUCAACUAUGUUUUGGAGAUUCAUAUUGAAAGUUGUAGAUUAUGGAUGUAUAGUAUAGGAGUUAGAUUGAGUUUAUCAUUCUAUCUUUGACAUCUUAGUUUUCUAUGUAUUGUCCAUCAUAUAUAUUUGUCAUCUAUUCUUUACAACCAAUUUUUUAAGGACUUCUAUGAUUUGUUUAAAUUUAUAUAUUUGUUUUUAUUUGUACUAGAACUUCACCAAGCUACAAAAGCAUCACAAGUUUUGCAAUUGGAGUUCAUGGAUCAGGUAUUUUAGUAGUUUUUGUAUCUGAAAUUUUUUUAUGAUACUAAUGAGGAUGUUUACCUUGAUUAAUUUAACACUUAUAUUGCAAAUAUCUAUAUAGGAGUUCUAUACAUUUAUUUAAACAUUUAUAGACAUAUUUAUCCUCUUUCUAGCACAUUCUAAUGAUAUUUUUAACAUUGAUAUAAAUUGUUUGCUUGAAGGUUUCAACUAUUGAAAAUUAUUAUUCAAGCCUAAUGUUAAUCUUUUUCUAUAGUGGAUUUCAAAUAAUAAAUUCUUAUUUGAUUAUUUGUAGGGAAAAUAAACAACUUCUAUGUUUGAUAAGAAAGAAGAUAGAGU
Molecule: long non-coding RNA, 4593 nt
Filed under: Vitis vinifera (wine grape)
Lineage: Eukaryota; Viridiplantae; Streptophyta; Magnoliopsida; Vitales; Vitaceae
Description: long non-coding RNA (VVIN_LNC006720)
Source: RNAcentral